Dreissena polymorpha is the source of this 1572-nucleotide long non-coding RNA. RefSeq lists it as uncharacterized. The transcript is spliced from 3 exons. Lineage: Eukaryota; Metazoa; Mollusca; Bivalvia; Myida; Dreissenidae. The record is from RefSeq and is a predicted model, not a curated record.
CCCCGCUCCGUGUAGACUGAGUGUAUGUAGAUGCCGAUCAUUUAUUUUAUGAAACUGAAUUAUGGUCUGAGCCUUAUCAUGUUAACAUCGUCGUGUGUUCGUGUUAAGAUAACUUGCUUAGGUCACACAAUGUUCUAGAUUCUAGAUAAUAUAUUUCACUGCAGAGUAAUCCAGGGACCUAUACAAACAAUACAAACAAAGGGAUGAGACACUCACUGAACCGAAGAACAAGCUAACGCGUUGGUACGCAAAAGGGAAACGAGACUUGCGACCCAACGAGACUUCGCGCUUCGAGGCAAAUUUUCACAGCCGCCAUUUUGACAAAGCGAGACCGUGACAAAGCAAUCGAGAAAGAAUAAGAGUACAAAUUAACCAAGUGUUGCCAACACAGAAGUAUUCAUUGCAAAGUGUGCUGAAAAGAAUCAAAAGAGGGUUUCUUGCUCUUUAGACGGAAAGUUUGACUCUGCAAAGGAAAAUAUCAUGACGCCAGCGAAAACUUGGGCGUACAAACCCAGGUCAUUUCCACAUUAAAAGCUUUUAAUGGUUGAAAAACAUUGUGGACUUUAAAUAGUGCUGACAUACAUGUGUGUUCACAGCUAUGCCAAGAAUACGGAUACUGUCUGAUUCAACACGGAAAUUGGAUUCCUUUCCUUUCCUGAGACGUACCUUGACCAUCCCAUCACUAAGAUGAUGUUACUAUAUUCAUGUCUACUAUAUAAAGCAGUGGCGACAACAAACUUCACAAACCUUCAGACUUGCCGAAGACAAAAGAAAAUUCAGUAUUAAUUAGUUUUAAAUAUUCAAUUGAUUAAAUUAAACUGUUGCAUUUUUUCAUAAAUGAACACAUUCCAGCAGUGAAUAUCUCUGCUUAACUCAAAAGUGACUGUUAGAUUUUUGAUCAUGUUAAUCAAAAAUGUGUUCCCAAAACUCAUUAUAAAUAUAAAAAUUUUAAACUUGUUUAAACAAGAUAAUUUGGUUUUUAAUUUUAGUAAGCUUUUUGUAUUGCUGUAGGCUUCGAAUAAAUCUUCUGCAUCACCAUGUCAGGAGGAAGCUCAAUCUUUUGUUGUUGAAAUAAUAAAUAGAAAAUUGUUAGUAUUAUUAUCAAAUUUUUGCUGUUCUAUUUCACAUUGCAAAUGGUUACUUGUGCAAAAUCUUUUACAAACAUGUGAUUUUUUUACAUGCUAUUGAGUUUUUAAAAUAUUUUCUUUAACUGAAUGCUCAUUACACUUAGUAACAUGAAUGUAUUCUACACAUACUCUUAAACUUAAAUAAUACCAAGAUUACCUAUCAUGCACGAACUAAUGUGUAUGUUUCAGUGAUUAACUGAUUUAUACUGAGAAAUAAAACAUAAACGACUUUUAUGAAUUGCCUUGCCUUCAAAUUCUGCUGAUUUUUGUUCAAUACUUGAACACGAAAUCACGAAAAGACUUUCAGUACUACUAUGGAUAUCAUGUUCAAAAGGAGUCCAACAGAAUAAUAUAAUGGCAUGCGAACCUUCAUUGUCUCGGAUGAUAAAGAACAAUUAUACAUUUUAAAUUGUAAGCAAUUGGCAGGCGUUAAUAAUGUUGAUAU